RNAcentral lists this ribosomal RNA (166 nucleotides) under Salmonella enterica subsp. enterica serovar Rubislaw. Its description in RNAcentral is "partial 16S ribosomal RNA". It matches the Rfam family "Bacterial small subunit ribosomal RNA", at positions 1 to 160 of the family's 1533-position model. The record is from RNAcentral. Lineage: Bacteria; Pseudomonadati; Pseudomonadota; Gammaproteobacteria; Enterobacterales; Enterobacteriaceae.
AAAUUGAAGAGUUUGAUCAUGGCUCAGAUUGAACGCUGGCGGCAGGCCUAACACAUGCAAGUCGAACGGUAACAGGAAGCAGCUUGCUGCUUCGCUGACAAGUGGCGGACGGGUGAGUAAUGUCUGGGAAACUGCCUGAUGGAGGGGGAUAACUACUGGAAACGGU